AUUGAACGCUGGCGGCAGGCCUAACACAUGCAAGUCGAGCGGUAGAGAGGUGCUUGCAUCUCUUGAGAGCGGCGGACGGGUGAGUAAUGCCUAGGAAUCUGCCUAGUGGUGGGGGAUAACGUUCGGAAACGGACGCUAAUACCGCAUACGUCCUACGGGAGAAAGCGGGGGAUCUUCGGACCUCGCGCCAUUAGAUGAGCCUAGGUCGGAUUAGCUAGUUGGUGAGGUAAUGGCUCACCAAGGCGACGAUCCGUAACUGGUCUGAGAGGAUGAUCAGUCACACUGGAACUGAGACACGGUCCAGACUCCUACGGGAGGCAGCAGUGGGGAAUAUUGGACAAUGGGCGAAAGACCUGAUCCAGCCAUGCCGCGUGUGUGAAGAAGGUCUUCGGAUUGUAAGACACUUAAGUUGGGUAGGAAGGGUA
This 425-nucleotide ribosomal RNA is filed under the name uncultured bacterium. RNAcentral describes it as "bacterial SSU rRNA". It matches the Rfam family "Bacterial small subunit ribosomal RNA", at positions 30 to 454 of the family's 1533-position model. The record is from RNAcentral.